This 605-nucleotide unclassified non-coding RNA is filed under the name Hevea brasiliensis (rubber tree). Lineage: Eukaryota; Viridiplantae; Streptophyta; Magnoliopsida; Malpighiales; Euphorbiaceae. The record is from RNAcentral.
GAGUUGAGUAUGGAUGUUACUUUUAAAGAAUUUGAGCCUUAUUUUCCUAUCAAGCCACCUCUUCAGGGAGAGCAUAAGGAGGAAAAGGAAGAGGCUUUUUUUCCUAAUCAGACUAUUAGGCUUGGGUCACACCUUGGUAAUGAGCCAUCUAACCAGGACCAACCACUUCAGGGGGAGACUAUUAGGCUUGGGUUACACCUUAAUAAUGAGCAAUCUAAUCAGGACAAACCACCUCCUCAAACCCUAGAGAAAUUGAAUAGAUUGGAUUUGAGACUCUACAUAUAUUGGAAUAAGAUAGAUACAACCAUUGAACUUGAUACACCUAAUCAACCAGCAACUCUGGAAUAAAUUCUUGAAGAAUGUGGUGAAUCUCCUUUACUUCUUGAUGAUCCAAUUUCUAUUUCUAAGUUGAAUGCUAUUAUUGAUAAUCUUGAUGUUCCUAUUGCUCUUAGAAAAAGAGUUAGGGUUUAUACUAAGUAUCCUAUUUCUAAUUUUAUUUCCUAUGACUCCUUGUCUCCUUCCGAUAGAGUCUUUAUCUUAUCUAUUUCUUUUGUUUCUAUACCACAAGGUUGGAAGGAAGUAUGUCUUGAUCCAAAAUGGAAGGC